UAACCGGGAAUAUCCGUUUUCUGCCGAACCUCACUGCAUGACAGCUGAAACUUCCUAACUCAACGUAUCCUAUUGCACACGGUGGUUUAUUUUCCUUUGAUAAGGACGAAAUUGGAUAACUGUAAUAACUCUAGAGCUAAUACAUGCCCCGAAGCCCUGACCCGCGAGGGAAUGGGUGCACUUAUUAGAUCAGAAGCCAACCAGGUAGUGUUCUUCUGCCUUCGGGUGGGAGCUCCGCUGCCUGUCGUCCUUCUGGUGACUCUGGAUAAUUGUUACAGAUCGCAGUCGGCCUUGCGUCGGCGACGGGUCCUUCAAAUGUCUGCCCUAUCAACUUUCGAUGGUAGGUGACCUGCCUACCAUGGUGAUAACGGGUAACGGGGAAUCAGGGUUCGAUUCCGGAGAGGGAGCCUGAGAAACGGCUACCACUUCCAAGGGAGGCAGCAGGCGCGCAAAUUACCCACUCCCAGUACGGGGAGGUGGUGACGAAAAAUACCGAUGCGGGACUCUUAUUGAGGCUCCGUAAUCGGAAUGAGUGAACUCUAAAUCCUUUCACGAGGAUCAAUUGGAGGGCAAGUCUGGUGCCAGCAGCCGCGGUAACUCCAGCUCCAAUAGCGUAUAUUAAAGUUGCUGCAGUUAAAAAGCUCGUAGUUGGAUCUCGGUAUCACUGUCGCCUGCCAGUCCUCGGCUGAUUGUGUCGGUGUAGGUGGGACCUUGCUUCGCUCGGUGCCCCUUGCCCAGGCAUGGUCAUGCUCGAGUUGGCGUGGCGGUGGUGUCACCUUUCAGCCAUGUCUGUGGUGAAAUACCCGCAGGUGUAGGCGAGUGUCAGGCGGUGCUCUGCGACAGUAGGGUCCGUCGGCUCGUCUGCAUGCCUUUGGAUGCCCUUCAAAAGGUGUCUAUGGGCGGAUGGCACGUUUACUUUGAACAAAUUUGAGUGCUCAAACCAGGCCGAUGUCGCCUGAAAAGUUUUGCAUGGAAUAAUGGAAUAGGACUUCGGUUCUAUUUCGUUGGUUUUCGGAU
Molecule: non-coding RNA, 1017 nt
Filed under: Schistocephalus solidus
Lineage: Eukaryota; Metazoa; Platyhelminthes; Cestoda; Diphyllobothriidea; Diphyllobothriidae
Description: Eukaryotic small subunit ribosomal RNA
Rfam family: Eukaryotic small subunit ribosomal RNA
Source: Rfam by way of RNAcentral